This 281-nucleotide ribosomal RNA is filed under the name Paraglomus brasilianum. The record is from RNAcentral. Lineage: Eukaryota; Fungi; Glomeromycota; Glomeromycetes; Paraglomerales; Paraglomeraceae.
CAGUCGCGUUCUCUGGGAUUCAGCCUUGCUUCUUGCUUGGUGCAUUUCCUAGUCUACGGGCCAGCAUGAAUCUUGAGCGGUGGAAAAGGGUUUGGGGAAUGUGGCUGUCUUCGGGCAGUGUUAUAGACCCUUGUCGUAUGUCUCGGCUGGGACUGAGGACUGCAGCGCGCCUUAUGGCCGGGGUUCGCGCCCCUCGGUACGCGCUUAGGAUGCUGGCAUAAUGGCUUUAAGCGACCCGUCUUGAAACACGGACCAAGGAGUCUAGCAUAUAUGCGAGUGUU